Molecule: long non-coding RNA, 223 nt
Filed under: Homo sapiens (human)
Lineage: Eukaryota; Metazoa; Chordata; Mammalia; Primates; Hominidae
Description: long non-coding RNA NONHSAT248675
Source: RNAcentral
GGAGAAUGUGCCACUUGGCUAAUAAUGUGUUUUCAAAACUACAAGUUCAGUGAUGACAGGAAAGAGGGCUAAAGUAGUCCCACAGAGGCUGGUAGAAAAGGCGAAUCACACUUAAGCACCAGCAGGUUAAAAACCUGAAAGGGUGGCCCUGACAAUUCAGACUAUAGGUUUUACAGCAUGCCACUUGUGCAAUAGGAGGUCUAGGGUUGAAACUUUCAAGAAC